This 251-nucleotide ribosomal RNA is filed under the name uncultured bacterium. Its description in RNAcentral is "partial 16S ribosomal RNA". It matches the Rfam family "Bacterial small subunit ribosomal RNA", at positions 524 to 776 of the family's 1533-position model. The record is from RNAcentral.
UACAGAGGUCCCGAGCGUUGUUCGGAUUCACUGGGCGUAAAGGGUGCGUAGGCGGUGAGGUAAGUCGGAUGUGAAAGCUCGGAGCUCAACUCCGAAAUGGCAUUGGAAACUACCUUGCUAGAGGGUUGGAGGGGGGUGGAAUUCCGCGUGUAGCAGUGAAAUGCGUAGAGAUGCGGAGGAACACCGAUGGCGAAGGCAGCCCCCUGGGCUAACACUGACGCUCAGGCACGAAAGCGUGGGGAGCAAACAGG